CCUACGGGAGGCAGCAGUGAGGAAUAUUGGUCAAUGGACGCAAGUCUGAACCAGCCAAGUAGCGUGCAGGAUGACUGCCCUCCGGGUUGUACACUGCUUUUAGUUGGGAAUCAAAGGGUGCUCGUUAGCGCCGUAUUGUAUGUACCCUCAGAAACAUGACCGGCUAAUUCCGUGCCAGCAGCCGCGGUAAUACGGAAGGUCCGGGCGUUCUUCUGAUUUAUUGGUUUUAAAGGGAGCGUAGGCCGGCUUUUAAGUCAGCUGUGAAGGUCCGCGGCUCAACCGUGGAAUUGCAGUUGAAACUGGAGGCCGUGAGUGCACACAGGGAUGCCGGAAUUCAUGGUGUAGCGGUGAAAGGCUUAGAUAUCAUGAAGAACUCCGAUCGCGAAGGCAAGUGUCCGGGGUGCAACUGACGCUGAGGCUCGAAAGUGCGGGUAUCAAACAGGAUUAGAUACCCCUGUAGUC
This 462-nucleotide ribosomal RNA is filed under the name uncultured bacterium. Its description in RNAcentral is "partial 16S ribosomal RNA". It matches the Rfam family "Bacterial small subunit ribosomal RNA", at positions 338 to 795 of the family's 1533-position model. The record is from RNAcentral.